This 440-nucleotide ribosomal RNA is filed under the name uncultured bacterium. RNAcentral's name for it is "partial 16S ribosomal RNA". It matches the Rfam family "Bacterial small subunit ribosomal RNA", at positions 338 to 795 of the family's 1533-position model. The record is from RNAcentral.
CCUACGGGUGGCAGCAGUAGGGAAUAUUGCUCAAUGGGGGAAACCCUGAACCAGCAACGCCGCGUGGAGGAUGACGGUUUUAUGAUUUUUAACUCCUUUUGUUAGAGAAGAUUAUGACGGUAUGUAACGAAUUAGCACCGGCUAACUCCGUGCCAGCAGCCGCAGUAAUAAGGGGGGUGCAACCGUUACUCGGAGUGACUGGGCGUAAACGGUGCGUAGGCGGGGUAAUAAGUCAGAUGUGAAAUCCUGUAGGUUAACUACAGAAGUGCAUUUGAAACUGUUACUCUGGAGUGUGGGAGAGGUAGGUGGAAUUCUUGGUGUAGGGGUAAAAUCCGUAGAGAUCAAGAGGAAUACUGAUUGCGAAGGCGACCUGCUGGAACAUUACUGAUGCUGAUGCACGAAAGCGUGGGGAGCAAACAGGAUUAGAUACCCGGGUAGUC